GACGAACGCUGGCGGCGUGCUUAACACAUGCAAGUCGAACGGAAAGGCCCUGCUUUUGUGGGGUGCUCGAGUUGCGAACGGGUGAGUAACACGUGAGUAACCUGCCCUUGACUUUGGGAUAACUUCAGGAAACUUGUGCUAAUACCGGAUAGGAUCUCCUGCUGCAUGGUGGGGGUUGGUAAGUUUCGGCGGUUGGGGAUGUACUCGCGGCUUAUCAGCUUGUUGGUGGGGUAGUGUCUUACCAAGGCUUUGACGGGUAGCCGGGCUGAGAGGGUGACCGGCCAAAUUGGGACUGAGAUACGGCACAGACUACUACGGGAGGCAGCAGUGGGGAAUAUUGCAAAAUGGGAGGAAGCAUGAUGCAGCAACGCCGCGUGCGGGAUGACGGCCUUCGGGUUGUAAACCGAUUUCGCCUGUGACGAAGCGUGAGUGACGGUAAUGGGUAAAGAAGCACCGGCUAACUACGUG
Molecule: ribosomal RNA, 468 nt
Filed under: uncultured bacterium
Lineage: Bacteria
Description: partial 16S ribosomal RNA
Rfam family: Bacterial small subunit ribosomal RNA
Source: RNAcentral